AGUGAACGCUGGCGGUGGCCUAACACAUGCAAGUCGAACGGCAGCACAGGAGAGCUUGCUCUCUGGGUGGCGAGUGGCGGACGGGUGAGGAAUACAUCGGAAUCUACUCUGUCGUGGAGGAUAACGUAGGGAAACUUACGCUAAUACCGCAUACGACCUACGGGUGAAAGCAGGGGACCUUCGGGCCUUGCGCGAUUGAAUAAGCCGAUGUCGGAUUAGCUUGUUGGCGGGGUAAAGGCCCACCAAGGCGACGAUCCGUAGCUGGUCUGAGAGGAUGAUCAGCCACACUGGAACUGAGACACGGUCCAGACUCCUACGGGAGGCAGCAGUGGGGAAUAUUGGACAAUGGGCGCAAGCCUGAUCCAGCCAUACCGCGUGGGUGAAGAAGGCCUUCGGGUUGUAAAGCCCUUUUGUUGGGAAAGAAAUCCAGCUGGCUAAUACCCGGUUGGGAUGACGGUACCCAAAGAAUAAGCACCGGCUAACUUCGUGCCAGCCGCCGCCGUAA
This 505-nucleotide ribosomal RNA is filed under the name uncultured bacterium. RNAcentral's name for it is "partial 16S ribosomal RNA". It matches the Rfam family "Bacterial small subunit ribosomal RNA", at positions 29 to 523 of the family's 1533-position model. The record is from RNAcentral.